AGGAGGCCGAGUGAGGAGCCACACACACGCACACGCACACGCACACACAGAUUUAACACUGUUCUCCGGUUUCAGCGCUGGUUCAGGCAGCAGUAGAACCUGCAGUGCACAUUCACCUGUGAAACGAUAAUUAUAGCUCCUCACCUGAGGAGCCUUGUCUCAGAAAGGCCUCAAACAGGUCGACCCAGCAUGACUCCCUGCAGCCACACCUGAUUCCUCAGCAGGGCGAGAUCAGCGGGGCGUCACCUGCACAGACGAGGACACCAGCAUGUAUAAAACCGGAGCUUGUCCAUCCAUAAACACGGUCUGAACACGACAGCAGCCAUGGCAGAUUUUGUAAAAAAUAUGUUGGGAAAUGACGGGAUGAGAGAUAUGGUUGCAUCGGAAACAGGUAAAGUGGUGGAGGGCUUCGUGAAGAAAGCAAUGGGUGGAGAAGGAGGAGACCAGAAGGAAGAGGGGGCAGGUGAUGUUGUAGGCACCUUGAUGAGCGCUGUGACUGGAGGAGGAGACAAGAAGGAAGAGGGGGCAGGUGAUGUUGUAGGCACCUUGAUGAGCGCUGUGACUGGAGGAGGAGACAAGAAGGAAGGGGAGGGAGGUGAUGUGGUAGGCACCUUGAUGAGCGCCGUGACUGGAGGAGGAGACAAGAAGGAAGGGGAGGGAGGGCUGGAUGUGUCGAAAGCUUUGGGAGGACUCUUUUAAGUAGAAACCCAACAGACCAGACUCUCUUUCAGCUUCAUCAAACCCUCAGCUCUUCCCAAACUACUGGAAAACAAUUACCUUCAUUAUUUACACUUGAUUUGUUGCACUUCCAUUUUAAAUGUUGCACCACAUUUGGGGUUGAGAAAAUAAACACAAAAAGCCACAAAAAAGUGAUAAAAACUGAUUAAAUCUGAAUAACACACAUAAACUGAUUUAUAAUCUGAUUUUUAAAAGGGUCACUAUCAGUAUUUUGUGUUAUUUUGCUAUCUUGAAUUAAAUAACUUAAAACAUGAGUGAAAAUGUUCUCCUGUGUUUUAUUUUGCUAAUGGUUUCUUGAAUAUUUUUUGCUCUAUUAUAUUCAGCUUAAACUGAGCCUCUGAUUUGGUGAAUUGAGAGGAAAACAAACUUAUUGUUGGGCUGCACAGUGGCGUGGUGGUUUGCACUCUCACCUUGCAGCUAGAAGAUCCUCGGUUCUGCAUGGAGCUUGCAUGUUCUCCCUGUGCAUGCGUGAGUUUGCUACGGCUACUCCAGCUUCCUUCCACUGUCCAAAAAUAUGCUGAGGUUAAUUUAUUAUUGUAAAUUGCCCGUGAUUGAAUGUGAGUGCAAUUGUUUGUCUGUAUAUGUAGCCCUGCAACCUGUCCAGGGUGUCUCCUGCCUUUGCCCCAAAUCAGCUGGGAUAGACUCCAGUCCCCCCUUAACUUACUGUACUUUCCCAGACGUGUUUGUAGUUUCAAUGAAUGUUUUGUAUGAAUCAACAGAUAAUAAAAACAACCGCCUCCAGUGUGAAACAUGAAUGUUCAUUUAGAUGAAUUAAAUUAAACAUAAUGGCAUGCAGAGAUGAACCUGAAGAGCAAUUAAAGGUA
Long non-coding RNA from Amphiprion ocellaris (clown anemonefish), 1562 nucleotides. The record is from Ensembl. NCBI's taxonomy places the organism in Eukaryota, Metazoa, Chordata, Actinopteri, Pomacentridae.